Daphnia pulicaria is the source of this 521-nucleotide long non-coding RNA. RefSeq lists it as uncharacterized. The transcript is spliced from 2 exons. Lineage: Eukaryota; Metazoa; Arthropoda; Branchiopoda; Diplostraca; Daphniidae. The record is from RefSeq and is a predicted model, not a curated record.
GGAGUACUACACCGAGCCUCCCAAAGUACUACACCACUAAGGCACCGGAAUGCUACUCGACUACGUAUGCUGCCCCUGCCUACAACACCAAGGCCCCUAAUUACAACAACACCGAAGCGCCUAAGUACUCCACUACAACCUUUGUGCUCCAAGCUACUACACCGACGCUCCGAAGUGUUACGCUGCGUAAAAGAAGUACUCUGUCGUAUAACGGGAGAGAAAAGGUAAUCAGUCGAGUGAGGAUCUCCGGCACUCUAACAUCUGCUGUGCACCAUCCGUCACCAACUGCAUCUCUCAUCGUGUAACCAAAUCGCAAUUAUGGUGUCGUGCUGCUGUUGGGUGUUGUAUCGUUGAUGGCUGGGUCGACCACUGGUGUACCGAUGUCUCCUUGGUAUGGCGGAUACUAAACCACAACGCCGCCGCCUUACUACACGACAACAACUUACGCAAAGACCAGUUACUGCACCGAGGCACCCAAGUACUACACCACUAAGGCACUGGAGUAUUAUACCACAACUUAA